Molecule: long non-coding RNA, 331 nt
Filed under: Mytilus galloprovincialis (Mediterranean mussel)
Lineage: Eukaryota; Metazoa; Mollusca; Bivalvia; Mytilida; Mytilidae
Source: RNAcentral
CUUUGUUUUAUUAUUAAUAUUACUUAUACUGUUUGGUCUGUUUUAGUGAUAUCCAUUUGACGUGGCUCGGUACUUAUACAUCCCUUCAAUGGGUUUGUAUUAUCUUUCAUUUUUGCUGGUGUGUUUUGAACGUGUGACUUUAUGUGUUUCCUUGGUACAUAUGACGUGGCUCUGUACUUUUAAAGAUCCCCUUUUAAAGUUAUUUCUAUUAUAAUGCCAUACUGUUAUUGUCUAUUAUAAUUUUGAAAAUACUUUGAACGAACAAAUUAUUUAACUCGCGUAGUGGUAUUAAUCCUAUGUGGAUUCUUAAAAAUUCUAAAGAACUUCUGGA